RNAcentral lists this ribosomal RNA (1037 nucleotides) under uncultured Actinoallomurus sp. RNAcentral describes it as "bacterial SSU rRNA". It matches the Rfam family "Bacterial small subunit ribosomal RNA", at positions 9 to 1051 of the family's 1533-position model. The record is from RNAcentral. Lineage: Bacteria; Bacillati; Actinomycetota; Actinomycetes; Streptosporangiales; Thermomonosporaceae.
GAGUUUGAUCCUGGCUCAGGACGAACGCUGGCGGCGUGCUUAACACAUGCAAGUCGAGCGGAAAGGCCCUUCGGGGUACUCGAGCGGCGAACGGGUGAGUAACACGUGAGCAAUCUGCCCUUAGCUCUGGGAUAGCUCCGGGAAACCGGAAUUAAAACCGGAUAUGACUUUGGCUGACAUCAGCCACGGUGGAAAGUUUUUCGGCUAGGGAUGAGCUCGCGGCCUAUCAGCUAGUUGGUGGGGUAACGGCCCACCAAGGCGACGACGGGUAGCCGGCCUGAGAGGGCGACCGGCCACACUGGGACUGAGACACGGCCCAGACUCCUACGGGAGGCAGCAGUGGGGAAUAUUGCGCAAUGGGCGAAAGCCUGACGCAGCGACGCCGCGUGGGGGAAGAAGGCCUUCGGGUUGUAAACCCCUUUCAGCAGGGACGAAGCGAGAGUGACGGUACCUGCAGAAGAAGCGCCGGCUAACUACGUGCCAGCAGCCGCGGUAACACGUAGGGCGCGAGCGUUGUCCGGAAUUAUUGGGCGUAAAGAGCUCGUAGGCGGUCUGCUACGUCCGCUGUGAAAACCUAGGGCUUAACCCUGGGCUUGCAGUAGAUACGAGCAGACUAGAGGUAGGUAGGGGAGAAUGGAAUCCCCGGUGUAGCGGUGAAAUGCGCAGAUAUCGGGAGGAACACCGGUGGCGAAGGCGGUUCUCUGGGCCUUACCUGACGCUGAGGAGCGAAAGCGUGGGGAGCAAACAGGAUUAGAUACCCCGGUAGUCCACGCCGUAAACGUUGGGCGCUAGGUGUGGGGUCCUUCCACGGAUUCCGUGCCGCAGCUAACGCAUUAAGCGCCCCGCCUGGGGGAGUACGGCCGCAAGGCUAAAACUCAAAGGAAUUGACGGGGGGCCCGCACAAGCGGCGGAAGCAUGUUGCUUUAUUUCGACGCCACCGCGAAAAAGCCUUACCAAGGUUUUGACAUGCAGGGGAAAAACCCGUAAAAGAUACGGUGGUCCGUUAAGGGCCCCUGCCACAGGUGGGUGCAUGGGCG